This 188-nucleotide unclassified non-coding RNA is filed under the name uncultured fungus. RNAcentral's name for it is "sequence contains ITS1". Lineage: Eukaryota; Fungi. The record is from RNAcentral.
UUUACUAUUAGAUAGUACUCAGACACCACUAAAUUUCAGAGUUUGGUCCUCUGGCGGGCACUUGUGAGCGAAGCCCACAGUGGAGGCCACGGCCCGCCAAAGCAACAAAAGUAUAUAGACACGGAUGGGGAUAGCGCCCGAGGGGCUUCUAUCAGGUAAUGAUCCUUCCGCAGGUUCACCUACGGAAA